AUAGAUUACUAGGGGUGCCUUACGGCUGAGAGUGCAAAUUGCAUAACCCUUUGAACCUGAACUAGUUAGGACUAGCGGAGGGAAGUAGACGAGCCUUUUG
This is a regulatory RNA element of Turicibacter sp. H121, 100 nucleotides long. It matches the Rfam family "TPP riboswitch aptamer (THI element)". Rfam says of the family: Vitamin B(1) in its active form thiamin pyrophosphate (TPP) is an essential coenzyme that is synthesised by coupling of pyrimidine and thiazole moieties in bacteria. The previously detected thiamin-regulatory element, thi box was extended, resulting in a new, highly conserved RNA secondary structure, the THI element, which is widely distributed in eubacteria and also occurs in some archaea. Analysis of operon structures identified a large number of new candidate thiamin-regulated genes, mostly transporters, in various prokaryotic organisms. The record is from Rfam. NCBI's taxonomy places the organism in Bacteria, Bacillati, Bacillota, Erysipelotrichia, Erysipelotrichales, Turicibacteraceae.